UCUGGGAAUAUAGAAGAAAAUAUUCUCUUCGGCAGUCCAAUGGACAAGGCCAAGUACAAGAACGUUAUACACGCUUGCUCACUGAAACGGGACUUGGAGCUCUUCUCACAUGGUGAUCAGACCAUUAUCGGUGACAGAGGCAUAAACCUCAGCGGUGGUCAGAAGCAGAGAGUUCAGCUAGCGAGAGCGCUUUACCAGGAUGCUGAUGUAUAUCUGCUAGACGACCCUUUCAGCGCUGUUGACGCUCACACUGGCUCCGAACUCUUCAAGGUGCACCUUUUCUUUUCUACUUCUUUCCAAAUAAACAAACAACUACCUUUUUCAAACACUGCCUUGCGUGAAUGCGACUCCCUUCAUCAAGCUUGAGUUUGCGUAUCUACAGGAAUAUAUAUUGACGGCUCUGGCAGACAAGACUGUGAUAUUUGUAACUCAUCAAGUCGAGUUUCUUCCUACCACGGAUCUUAUAUUGGUGAGGACUUCUUCUGCCAUUGCCCUUCUGCUAAAAAUGUUAUACCAAGAGCUGUUUUUAAUGUUAAGACACAGAGAAAAGUAUAUAACACCAAGAAACCACUUGAUGAAAUUUUUGUGUUUAUCUGCAGGUCCUUAGGGAUGGCCAAAUUAUACAGUCAGGUAAGUAUGAGGAACUGCUACAAGCAGGAACGGAUUUCUUAUCACUUGUGUCUGCUCAUCAUGAAGCAAUUGAAGCAAUGGACAUUCCAAGCCAUUCAUCAGAGGACUCUGAUAAAACGGCUUAUAAAUAAGAAGCAACAUGAAUACGGCUGGGGGAGAUUUGAACAAAGUGAACUUGGAAGCAGAAGAGAUCGAACAUGGGAAAUGUCAUUGGUCAGAACAUAGGAAAUGUACGCUUCUAAUGUAAAUAGCAGAAAUGCAAAGAGGAAUUGCGACUGGACAUCAUCUUCAUUUAAUGUAUUGAAAUCGCUGUCCGUAAGGAAAAUACUCAGUAAAAAAAUCUCUAAAACCAAAACUUUUCUUGUUUUUAUUUUUAAUCUUUCAUGUUAUUGUUUUUAUUUAAUAAUCUUUCAUGUUAUUGGUUUUAUUUUGUUAGUUUAGAAUUAUAAUUUGAUGAAGUACAAAGUAGUGUUUGAUUAUAUAUAUAUAUAAAAUCAUUGACAAAACAUAAUAAAGUUUGGGUCGUUUCAAUGCACAAAUAUUAUAAGGUUUACAAACAAAACAUUGACAAAACAAAGAAAAAAAUAAGAAAUUUGAAACAAAUAAAAAUGUGAUGUUUGUUGAAUGUGUUAAUUUAAGUGUUAGAAUAACUAUAAUGACAAAAGAUAUCACAAUAAUUACAAUAAUAAAAAGUUUAGUUUUUUGAUUAAAAAGUUUACAAUCGUUUUAAACUUUUUAUAAAAAUAAAACUUUAUAAAAAUUUUUUUAUAAAGUUUAUUUAAUGGUUUUAUUAAAAAAAUGAAUAAAGUUUUGUUUUUAUUUUUAUAAAUUUAAAAGGUUUGUUUUUGUUAAAGUUUUAUUAAAAACAGUUUACAAAGUUUUAUUUUUAUUAAAUACGUUUUACAAAGUUUUAUUUUUAUUUUUUUUACAUACGUUUUAAUAAUGCUAAAAUUUAAAAGUAAUAAAAAUUAAAAAAUAUUUUCAAAAAAGUAUAAUAAAAAUUUUAAUAUUUUUUAAUAAAAAUGAAUAGUGCAUACACUUUUAGGGAAGUUGGAAUCUUAUAAAUAUUUGUAUUGAUAUUUUUGACAGGGUAAAUCGACCAAAUCACGUUUUAGGGAAAUUAGUAUUUUACAAAUAUUUUUAAAAUAUUUUCUUAACUGAAACUUCCAUAAUUUUCGCUAAAGUCAAAUUCUCUUAUCCGUAGAAGGUACUUUAUACACUGCGUAGAACCAAGAUAAAAAUCUCAUAAGUUGAUUCUACCUCAUAUAGACGUAUGAGCAUUGUCUAAAUUUUGCAUUCCGAGAAUCUUAGAAUAUCUCAUAAAAGUAGAAACUGCAUUCUGAGAAAAAGUACCUAUUUUUACAACUAGUAGAAUUCGCAUUCCAUAUAUUUAAAAGUUUAAUUAAAAAUAGAGUGUUCAUUCUAAAAAAACUAGACGAACUUGUUUAAUAUGGAAUUCAAUUUCUACUAAUUCAUUUUCCGUAGAAGACGAAAUCUGUUUUUAGUAGAACGUAAAUUAAAUUUUAAUUUAUCAAGUUUUUCAAUAAAAAGAAUAUCAGUUUGUGUAUAUGAAUGUUUUAUUAAUUGUCUCUAUUUUUCUAUUUUUUUAUUCAUAAAACUAUUUACAUUUCAUUAAAUUUUAGUAAUGAAAAGAGUAAAAAAAAAAUGGACAAAAAAAAUUUUAUACUAAAAAGACAACUAUACUAUUUUUUGAUCCAUUUUGGCAAUUUUCCCAAUAAAUAACCGGACACUACUGCUAUUUAAGGCCAUAUAUAAUAUGAUUGCGUCUGAAGAUCGAAAAACCUCGACUGCGUCUACAUUAUAUAUAAUCUGGUGUAUGUAUGCGUGUGUGAGAGAGAGAGUUUCAGAUUUAAAGGUACGAAGAAGAAGAAGAAGAGGAGAAAGCAAAUCCAAAUUGAUCCUACAUUUUGCGACUCAAUCUCUCUCUCUCUCUCUGUUGUAACGCCAUUAUCACACACAGCUGGAAACAUCUCUUCUACUCUCUCUCUCUUCUCGGCUAGGGCGGGGAGAGAGAAAGAGAAGCCACAUUGUCUUCCAUCACAGGUUUUGUCAUAAAUUUAAAUUUUUCAUGUGUGUGUGUUUUGUCUUCUUGUGUCUUUCUCUAGAUAACAUCGAUGCAACACAACAAAAAGUCGUUUAGGCUCUGAUGUGUUAUUCAACGUGUUAGGCUCUGACGAAAAGUCGUUUUGGUAACAUGUGCGAUGUGUCUUUCAGGCUCUGCGUUUCUCUCUACCACCGUCGUGACUCCUCUGCUCAUAAGACACAUCUUUACUCUCGCUUCUUCCUCUGCUUACAUUACAUUGAAUUGAACUGCUCUUUCUUCAAUGCUCUCUAGCUCAGAAAUCUCAUUAAUCUAAUUAUGAGUAUGGGCACGCUCUUGAGAGCUCUUCGUGACUUACCACUCGUGGAAGCGUCUUCGAUCUGCAUCACUUUGGCUCUUCUCUUAGUGUUUAUCAUCGAUAUCUCCGCCAGACGCUUGCUUCUCUGCCUCCGUCGCGGUCCUUUCCUCAAACACGACUCUGUAGGAAACUCUAGUUCCGGAGACGCCCGCGAGCUUCAAGUCACCAUUGGUUACAAAUUCUCGGUUCUUUGCUGUUUCUUUGUCUUAAUCGUGCACGUUUCGGUUUUAGUGUUGGAUGUUGUCGGAGUAGCUAAGGAAAGAAACGAGAUUAGUGUUCUUUUCUCGCCGGUUACAGAGGUUGUAGCUUGGUUAGUGUUGUGCGCAUCAGUUGUUCGAUGUAAUUACACCUCUGCGGAAAAGUUUCCUUUGCUGCUGAGGCUGUGGUGGGUUGUGGGCUUCUUGAUUUGUUUAUGGGCUUUGUUCAUAGACUCCAGAGAGAUUCUUGUGAACGGCUCGAACCAUUUGUCUUCACAUGUUGUUGGGAACUUUGUUUCAGCUCCUGCUCUGGCUUUCCUCUGCUUCGUGGCUCUCAGAGGUGUAUCAGGUCUUCGAGUUAUUACUACACAUUCACAUCUUCUUGACCCUCUGCUUGUCGAAGAUGAAGAAGAAGAAGAAGAGAAAGCUGGGUGUCUCAGUGUUACUUCCUAUAGUGACGCCGGGUUGUUCAGCCUCGCUACGCUUUCGUGGCUGAAUCCUCUCCUCUCUCUUGGCGCCAAGAGGCCGUUGGAUCUCAAGGACAUUCCUCUGCUCGCUCCCAAAGACCGGGCAAAGACCAACUACAGAAUCUUGAACUUUAACUGGGAGAAGUUAAAGGCUGAGAAUCCCUCGAAACCGCCUUCUCUCGCUUGGGCCAUCUUGAAGUCGUUUUGGAAAGAAGCGGCUUGUAAUGCAGUCUUUGCUGGCUUGAACACUCUUGUUUCUUAUGUGGGUCCUUAUUUGGUGAAUGACUUUGUUAAUUAUCUGGGUGGGAAAGAGACUUACCCUCACGAGGGUUACAUCCUCGCUGGUAUCUUCUUUGCGGCCAAACUCGCAGAGACUUUGACAACCCGGCAGUGGUAUCUUGGUGUGGAUAUCUUGGGGAUGCAUGUCAGAUCAGCUCUAACGGCUAUGGUGUACAGAAAAGGGCUCAAACUCUCGAGUAUAACCAAGCAGAACCACACGAGCGGCGAGAUUGUGAACUACAUGGCCGUUGAUGUCCAGAGAGUAGGUGACUACUCUUGGUACCUUCAUGAUAUGUGGAUGCUUCCUCUACAGAUUGUACUUGCUCUCGGGAUCUUGUACAGGAGUGUGGGAAUGGCGGCUGUAGCUACGUUGGCGGCCACAGUUUUCUCUAUUAUCGCCACCAUCCCAUUGGCCAAAGUCCAAGAGGACUAUCAAGACAAAUUGAUGUCUGCUAAAGAUGAGCGGAUGAGGAAGACUUCGGAGUGUUUGAGGAACAUGAGGAUUCUGAAACUGCAGGCUUGGGAGGAUCGGUACAGGGUCGUGCUUGAGGGAAUGAGGAGCACGGAGUUCAAAUGGCUUCGAAAGGCUUUAUACUCCCAAGCGUUUAUCACGUUUAUAUUCUGGAGUUCGCCUAUCUUCGUAGCUGCAAUCACGUUUGCUACGGCCAUAGGCCUAGGAACUCAGCUCACUGCAGGAGGCGUUCUCUCCGCGCUUGCAACGUUCAGGAUUCUUCAGGAGCCGCUUAGGAAUUUUCCUGAUCUGGUGUCAAUGAUGGCUCAGACUAAAGUGUCUCUUGAUCGUAUAUCGGGGUUUCUGCAAGAGGAAGAGCUCCAGGAAGACGCUACGAUAAUCCUUUCUCAAGGUAUGACAGAGACAUCUGUGGAGAUCAAAGACGGUUGUUUCUCUUGGGAUCCUUCGUGGGUAAGGCCAACUUUGUUUGAUAUUCAUCUAAACGUCAAGAGAGGAAUGCGAGUAGCUGUUUGCGGAGUCGUCGGUUCCGGAAAAUCAAGUUUUCUUUCUUGUAUACUUGGAGAAAUACCUAAAAUCUCGGGUGAAGUAAGUGAAACACUUGAACAACUUUCGAAACAUGUGUGUCUGUCUUCAAUAUUUUUCAGGCCUAAUCAAAUUUGACGAGUUGUACACUGAAAUACACAGGUCAGAAUAUGCGGUAGUGCUGCUUAUGUUUCACAAUCCGCAUGGAUCCAGUCUGGGAAUAUAGAAGAAAAUAUUCUCUUCGGCAGUCCAAUGGACAAGGCCAAGUACAAGAACGUUAUACACGCUUGCUCACUGAAACGGGACUUGGAGCUCUUCUCACAUGGUGAUCAGACCAUUAUCGGUGACAGAGGCAUAAACCUCAGCGGUGGUCAGAAGCAGAGAGUUCAGCUAGCGAGAGCGCUUUACCAGGAUGCUGAUGUAUAUCUGCUAGACGACCCUUUCAGCGCUGUUGACGCUCACACUGGCUCCGAACUCUUCAAG
This 5470-nucleotide long non-coding RNA is filed under the name Brassica napus (rape). RNAcentral describes it as "long non-coding RNA (BNAP_LNC007446)". Lineage: Eukaryota; Viridiplantae; Streptophyta; Magnoliopsida; Brassicales; Brassicaceae. The record is from RNAcentral.